Molecule: unclassified non-coding RNA, 3631 nt
Filed under: Actinia tenebrosa (Australian red waratah sea anemone)
Lineage: Eukaryota; Metazoa; Cnidaria; Anthozoa; Actiniaria; Actiniidae
Description: e3 ubiquitin-protein ligase MIB2-like, transcript variant X1
Source: RNAcentral
GUUCUGUCUGGGUCAAAACGGUUUUCUUUUAUACUNAACAUUUUCUUGGAAUUCUAAGCUUUCAGCUUGAAGUUUGCUUUUUUAACCCAUGUUUCAUCGCUUUCUAUCGACGAAUCUAGUUAUUUAANCGUCGCAGAUGUAAAAUCUUNGGCUUGAAUGAGAGUAUUCUAACAAUCAUGAUUCUAGGAUGUCGAGUUGUUCGAGGACCAGACUGGAAAUGGGGCGACCAAGAUGGAGGAGAAGGANGUGUUGGNACAAUUGUUGACCUACAAAANUUUGNAGNUGGUNAAANAUUGCCGUCNAAANCUGUNNUGGUGUGUUGGGAUAAUGGGAAGCAAGCUNAUUACAGGACUGGAUUNAAUGACUGCUACGAUUUACGAGUCUUUGAUUCCUCUUCAGCGGGAGUUGUGUUUAACGCUUUUACUUGUGAUGGAUGCAUGACCUCGGUCAUCACAGGAAUACGAUGGCACUGCACAGUAUGUCACGACUUCGACUUGUGUAAUGUUUGCUACAUGAAUGAUGUGCAUGAAAAAAACCAUGCAUUUAUGCGUUUUCAUAUAUCGAACGACAAAACCAAUGGAACCAAUGUUGGAAAGCGCUCUGACGCUGCUGAGAAAAAGAUUCGCGCCACUGGAAUAUUCCCUGGUGCCCUAGUAAAACAAGGACGGGACUGGACAUUAGACAAUGACUUAGGCUCAAAGGUUGGAAAAGUAGUAGGGCUAACUGCAUGGGAAAAUACACCCAGGAGUGCAGUCCUUGUAAACUGGGGUAACUCUAUUGAAAUCAAACACAGAGUUGGAUAUGAAGGCAAAAUGGAUUUAUGCCCAGUCAAAGCUGCAAAUGGGCNAUGUUACUAUAAAGACCAUCUCCCUGUGGUAUCUACGAUUAAUAUGCCGAGGUCAGGAGGGAAUGAAUUGCGAGAAGGAGACAUGGUGAAAACGGAACUGGACGUUGAAACACUGAAGCAGUUGGCGGAAGGUCAUGGGGGAUGGGUAGAUGCAAUGCAAAAAGUAACUAUAAAUUUGCGAACUGGAGACAAAGUCAGAGUUGCCGGUAACAAAGAAACAGUGAUGAACCUACAAGAAGGUCAUGGAGGCUGGAAUAAUGCAAUGGAAAAUGUAUUAGGUAAAGCUGGUAAAGUGAUUCGAGUUGUUGAUAACGGAGAUAUGGUGGUUAGCAUCGAGGAUCGUGUUUGGGUUUUUAAUCCAGAUGCUCUUAUUUUGGAGUCCAAAGAAGAAGAGAGAACGCCUGCUGGACAUGAAGAUCCUUCUUCCAGCUCUACAACUGCCUUAGAACUUCUGUUUCACGCUAUGCUUGAAGGAGUGGCAAACGCUUCCAGUUCAGAAGCCGGUUCAGUUGAACUUUUUGUUGCUACUACUGCUGGAAACUUGGAGCAAGUCAAGCAGAUCAUCGGUAACAACAAAGCCUUGGUAAAUCAAAAAUUUGCCAGUAACAAGACGCCCUUGCAAGUGGCCUGUCAUCAAGGAAAAUCUGAGAUUGUGUCUUAUCUACUGGAAAACGGAGCUGACAAAGAACUAAGGGAUGAACAAGGUUACACAGCAUUGCACCACGCUGCUUAUGGUGACGAAACCGGUGUUUGUGUUGUAGUCAUGCUUUCUGCUAAUGCUAAAGUGAAUCCAACCGAUUUGGACCGAACCCAGGUAACACCUCUCCAUCUAGCUGUUCAAAGAGGCAAUGAAGCAGGUGUGGUCGCUCUGGUACAAUCUAAGUAUUGUGAUGUCAAUUGCCAGGACGUAUUGGGAGACACACCUUUACAUGAAGCAAUUUUACGCAGUCAGAAUAACAUAUUCACCCUUCUACUCAAGGUCAAGAACCUGGAUCCAACUAUUUGUAAUGUAAAUGGAUUCAACAUACUGCAUUUGGCCUGUCUGAAAAACUGCCAACAUGCAGCCAAGUUAUUGAUAGAAAAGUUUCCAGGUUUAGUGGAUAUUACUAAAGAAGAUGGAUUUUCAGCUUUACAUGUGGUUUCAUUAAACAACCAUCAUGAAAUUGCCAAACAUUUGAUUUUAUCGGGUCAUUGUAGCAUCAAUAUGCGAAACCAUGAGGGCAUGACAGCUUUAGCUUUGUCUGUAUCAAGGAGUCACAAAGAAAUGAUCGAACUUUUGAUUAAGCAUCGAGCAGAUGCCAAUGUGGAAGAUAAAGAUGGAGACACACCCCUUCAUGUUGCUGUCAUGAAACACUGCAUCGUACACUCAGGGGUCGAUAUUCAGUCUUAUGGUUUGGAUGCUCCAGCAGGCAACGAGGCUGAAAAAGCCAUUGCACUUUUCCUAGUCACCCAAGGUGGAGCAAAAUCUGACUACAGUAACCAUCAAGGAAAGACCCCACUGGACCUUUGUAUUGAUACAGAAUUAAAGGGGAUGCUCAAGCGCCAAGACUUAGUGCGAAGAAAUAAAUACCAAGGUGGAACUCAAGCUGCUUUGGCUACACCACCACGACCAGUGCCAGGUUCUUUUCGAGCUCCUUCGCCUAGGACAGCUGUUCCACUACCGAUAGCCUCUCCUGUUGCAGGAAAUCCUAACCUGUUACCAACUUCACCAGGUUCUCCAAAGGAGCCUUGUGAGGAUCCUCCCAAUUCAUUUCCAGAACCUAAACCUAUUCCAGCUAAAAGUGCCAUAGGGUCAUCUGAUGAUGCCAAAAUGUUAAGUACAACUAAGCCUCUUCCAAUUGAUCCUCCUACGCCGGUAUCAAAGCUUCCAGCUGUUGUUUCAGCAGGAGGAACAGUAUCGUCAAGACCGAUGGAUACAAGGGCUAUAGCCACUGCGCCUGGGCCUGCAACCCCAUNUAGAUCUACUGCUGAAGCGACUCCAGAACCUAAACCUAUUCCAGCUAAAAGUGCCAUAGGGUCAUCUGAUGAUGCCAAAAUGUUGAGUACAGCUAAGCCUCUUCCAAUUGACACUCCUUUGCCGGUUUCAAAGCUUCCAGCUGUUGUUUCAGCAGGAGGAACAGUAUCGUCAAGACCGAUGGAUACAAGGGCUAUAGCCACUGCGCCUGGGCCUGCAACCCCAUCUAGAUCUACUGCUGAAGCGACUCCUGCUGGUGAUAUAUCCAUGGCGUUAGCGAACCUGGAAUUACGAGAUGACACAUCUGCAUCUAAUGUUGUAGGCACUUCUUCUGCAGAAUCCGAAAGGAAUACCAAUAAUAUUAUAGAGUCAGAAAUAAGCACCUCUUCAAAUGAAAAGGCAAAAAUGGUGGAAUCACAAAAGUCUAACUUGCAGGAUGAACUGUGUUGUUAUUGUAGAGAGGACAAAGCAGAUGUGAUUUUCAAGCCUUGCAACCACAAAGUCGUGUGUCAGGGUUGCUCNGUGAGAGCAAAGGUUUGCCUCCAAUGCAAACAAAACAUCACUAGCAAAAUUGCUUCAGNUAACUAAGCGUAAGAUUAGUUUCUAAGCUGUCGCACAUCUUUUAGUCAGCACGUUCUCAGUAGCCGAUCCAUGGGAUGUUAGCAAGCUGAGNGAAUUUCCUGCCCUACCUUGCAAAUGGGGAAAGAGGCUCCACUCGUGUCCUUUACAGACGUCAAAAAGGAUUAUGAAAAGAAAAUAAAUAAAUUAGAGCGUCUGGCAUUUUGUCAAAUUUGCAUGGAAGACGACAGACCAAGCAACGUGGUAUUCCG